CUGAUUUCAUUCAGACACUCUGUGUGUUUAACAUCUGCCCGUGGGCCUGAACCUCUCAGCACCCACUGCAGUCUGUCUGUCAGCCAUUACGACACUACCACAGUCGCACAGAAAGCACCCCACCAACCACUCACCCCCUGCAACUGCUCAGCUAUGACAGAGACAGGGCAGUAAACUGAGGAAAUGACGAGUUCAGAAGAAGACGUUUCCUCCAAUGUUCCUUGCAAGGCUCUCUGUUACCAUGACCACAAAGAAGCUCUACUAAUUAGUGACGGUCAAGGAGAGAGGCUAUAAGUGUUGUACUCAAGAUACGCAGUGACAAGAUGCUUCCUGCCACUGCGACUAUGAUGAUGGUGAUAUUCA
Long non-coding RNA from Oncorhynchus tshawytscha (Chinook salmon), 363 nucleotides. The record is from Ensembl. NCBI's taxonomy places the organism in Eukaryota, Metazoa, Chordata, Actinopteri, Salmoniformes, Salmonidae.